AUGGGCAAAAAACCUUUUCAAAAGGUUCAAGACAUCAAUAAACUAUAAAAAGGCCAGGCACAGUGGCUCAUAUCUGCAAUCCCAGCACUUUGGGAGGCCGAGGCGGGCGGAUCACUUGAGUCCAGGAAUUUGACAACCAGUCUGGACAACAUGGUGAAACCUCAUCUCUACAAAAAAUA
Long non-coding RNA from Sapajus apella (tufted capuchin), 179 nucleotides. RefSeq lists it as uncharacterized. NCBI's taxonomy places the organism in Eukaryota, Metazoa, Chordata, Mammalia, Primates, Cebidae. The transcript is spliced from 2 exons. The record is from RefSeq and is a predicted model, not a curated record.